ACUAAACAAAGAGUUCUAGAAGCCUGCACGCGAUCAAUCUUACUUGCCAAAAGGUCUGACAGCCAUGCCCCCACAACACAUUUAAACCUUCUAACUCUACAUGCGAAUCAAAUCCUGGCGGAACGAGAGGCUCCAUUAGGCUACAGAGUUUUGCCUCUGUUUGUCUCGCUCAUAAACACAGACUUAAAGUCAGACAUCCACUUUCAAGGAGCAGUAAUUUGCUAUCGAAGAGCACUGCUGGAGGCCUAUAGGAGACUGUCACUACAAUGGAUGGAAUUGCUUGCACUUUUCACAUAAUGCAAGACUGCAGGAAAUGAUGGUUCACCACUCAUUAAAUAUAUGCAUAUUAA
Long non-coding RNA from Ctenopharyngodon idella (grass carp), 350 nucleotides. RefSeq lists it as uncharacterized. The record is from RefSeq and is a predicted model, not a curated record. Lineage: Eukaryota; Metazoa; Chordata; Actinopteri; Cypriniformes; Xenocyprididae. The transcript is spliced from 2 exons.